GAUGAACGCUGGCGGCGUGCCUAAUACAUGCAAGUCGAGCGAACAGACGAGGAGCUUGCUCCUCUGACGUUAGCGGCGGACGGGUGAGUAACACGUGGAUAACCUACCUAUAAGACUGGGAUAACUUCGGGAAACCGGAGCUAAUACCGGAUAAUAUAUUAAACCGCAUGGUUCAAUAGUGAAAGCCGGUUUUGCUGUCACUUAUAGAUUGAUCCGCGCCGCAUUAGCUAGUUGGUAAGGUAACGGCUUACCAAGGCAACGAUGCGUAGCCGACCUGAGAGGGUGAUCGGCCACACUGGAACUGAGACACGGUCCAGACUCCUACGGGAGGCAGCAGUAGGGAAUCUUCCGCAAUGGGCGAAAGCUUGACGGAGCAACGCCGCGUGAGUGAUGAAGGUCUUCGGAUCGUAAAACUCUGUUAUUAGGGAAGAACAAAUGUGUAAGUAACUAUGCACGUCUUGACGGUACCUAAUCAGAAAGCCACGGCUAACUACGUG
This 497-nucleotide ribosomal RNA is filed under the name uncultured bacterium. RNAcentral describes it as "partial 16S ribosomal RNA". It matches the Rfam family "Bacterial small subunit ribosomal RNA", at positions 28 to 507 of the family's 1533-position model. The record is from RNAcentral.